AUUGAACGCUGGCGGCAUGCCUUACACAUGCAAGUCGAACGGCAGCACGGGUGCUUGCACCUGGUGGCGAGUGGCGAACGGGUGAGUAAUACAUCGGAACAUGUCCUGUAGUGGGGGAUAGCCCGGCGAAAGCCGGAUUAAUACCGCAUACGAUCCACGGAUGAAAGCGGGGGACCUUCGGGCCUCGCGCUAUAGGGUUGGCCGAUGGCUGAUUAGCUAGUUGGUGGGGUAAAGGCCUACCAAGGCGACGAUCAGUAGCUGGUCUGAGAGGACGACCAGCCACAUGGGGAUUGAGCAACGGCCCAACCCCCUACGGGAGGCAGGGGUGGGAAAUUUUGGAAAAUGGGCGAAAGCCUGAUCCAGCAAGGCCGGGUGUGUGAAGAAGGCCUUCGGGUUGUAAAGCACUUUUGCCCGGAAAAAAACCCUUGACCUUAAAACAGUCGGGGGAUGACGGUACCGGAAAAAAAAGCACCGGCUAACUACGU
Molecule: ribosomal RNA, 485 nt
Filed under: uncultured bacterium
Lineage: Bacteria
Description: partial 16S ribosomal RNA
Rfam family: Bacterial small subunit ribosomal RNA
Source: RNAcentral